GACAAGAAAUAACAAUACGGGGCUUAUGUCUUGUAAUUGGAAUGAUGCCGACUUACACCCUCGGCAGAGUACCAAUUGGAAGGCAAGUCUGGUGCCAGCAGCCGCGGUAAUUCCAGCUCCAAUAGCGUAUAUUAAACUUGUUGCAGUUAAAAAGCUCGUAGUUGUAUUUCAGCCUCGCGUUUUUUCCCUCUUUUCGGGUCUUUUCGCUGGCUUUUCUUUUUACUUUGAGAAAAUUAGAGUGUUUCAAGCAGACUUUUGUCUUGAAUACUUCAGCAUGGAAUAAUAGAGUAGGACCUUGGUUCUAUUUUGUUGGUUUUUGAGCCUUGGUAAUGGUUAAUAGGAACGGUUGGGGGCAUUCGUAUUUAACUGUCAGAGGUGAAAUUCUUAG
RNAcentral lists this ribosomal RNA (388 nucleotides) under Babesia bigemina. Its description in RNAcentral is "bacterial SSU rRNA". It matches the Rfam family "Eukaryotic small subunit ribosomal RNA", at positions 469 to 923 of the family's 1831-position model. Lineage: Eukaryota; Apicomplexa; Aconoidasida; Piroplasmida; Babesiidae. The record is from RNAcentral.